GCCAUUGAUACAAACGAAGAUACAGAUGAUGAUAAUCUUUCCAAGCGAAAAUGUCGAACAGCUUUACCAUAUUUUAUGAGUGAUUCUGAUGAUUUGGAUAAUGAUGUUGCUUCCAAUCAACCAAAAGGCCUAAAUUGGUUUGCAGCAGUGAUGAAGAGCAAGAGACCGUAGUCGACAAGUUUCCAUUACUUCCACCAUCACUACAAAAAUGUUCUUUACUUUAUCUUUAUUUAAAAUUUAUACUUAUAAACUUUUUUUUUUGUUGUGUAGUCAACACUGUUAUAUACAUUUUUCUUCUUUGAGACAAAUUUUUUAGACUUUGGUAUAGCAAAUAAUACUCUUUAAAACACUGAACUUAAAUUUAGUAAGAUCAAUGAGUAUUAUUUGUUAUGCUAACAAAGAUUUUUGCAGGACUUUACAAUAUACAUCUAAAGUAUAUCAGAUAUGUUUUAAUUAGUUUAUUUUUGCAGAUAUUUUAAAGUGUAGUUUUUUAUCAUUAAAUUUAAGUUUAUUUCUUUUUGAAGUGCCUUCAAAUCUGAAUUUGAUUGAUAAAAAGAAGCGAAGAAUCGAUAUGGAGAUUGAUCCAGUAUCGCAAACUAAAGUACCAUCGUCUCAAUCUUAUCUCCUGCAGCAUAACACAAGCAAUAGUUGCAGCAGUAAAUCUUUGGAUGACAUAGAUAGUACACCCACUGUAUCACAAGAUGGUGGCAGUUUUAGCUCGUGCUUGUGGCAUCCACCCUAAAAAAAGUAUCUAUGAAGCAAUGAAUAAACUUUUAACUAAAGAUGUUGCUUCGAAAUAUAAUAUAACGGGCACUGCCCAGAAGAGUAAAUUUUGCACGGAAUUCAAAAAUAUUUGUUCAGC
Non-coding RNA from Hydra vulgaris (swiftwater hydra), 862 nucleotides. Lineage: Eukaryota; Metazoa; Cnidaria; Hydrozoa; Anthoathecata; Hydridae. The record is from RefSeq and is a predicted model, not a curated record.